RNAcentral lists this ribosomal RNA (163 nucleotides) under uncultured eukaryote. Its description in RNAcentral is "partial 18S ribosomal RNA". It matches the Rfam family "Eukaryotic small subunit ribosomal RNA", at positions 1488 to 1650 of the family's 1831-position model. The record is from RNAcentral.
CGCACGCGCGCUACACUGACAGAGCCAACGAGUUCAUCACCUUGGCCGAAAGGUCUGGGUAAUCUUGUUAAACUCUGUCGUGCUGGGGAUAGAGCAUUGCAAUUAUUGCUCUUCAACGAGGAAUGCCUAGUAAGCGCAUGUCAUCAGCAUGCGCUGAUUACGU